UGGGGAAUAUUGGACAAUGGGGGGAACCCUGAUCCAGCAAUGCCGCGUGUGUGAAGAAGGCCUGAGGGUUGUAAAGCACUUUCAGAGGGGAGGAGGACUAUUAGGUUAAGAGCUAGAUAGUUGGACGUUACCCUCAGAAGCAGCACCGGCUAACUCCGUGCCAGCAGCCGCGGUAAUACAGAGGUGGCAAGCGUUGUUCGGAAUUACUGGGCGUAAAGGGCGCGUAGGCGGCCCUCUAAGUCAGACGUGAAAUCUCCCGGCUUAACCUGGGAACUGCGUCUGAUACUGGAGGGCUUGAGUAUGGGAGAGGGAUGUAGAAUUCCAGGUGUAGCGGUGAAAUGCGUAGAUAUCUGGAGGAAUACCGGUGGCGAAGGCGGCAUCCUGGACCAUUACUGACGCUGAGGCGCGAAAGCUAGGGGAGCAAACGGGAUUAGAUACCCCCGUAGUCCCUGAGCGGGCUGGCAAGGCGCAU
This 472-nucleotide ribosomal RNA is filed under the name uncultured bacterium. Its description in RNAcentral is "bacterial SSU rRNA". It matches the Rfam family "Bacterial small subunit ribosomal RNA", at positions 355 to 825 of the family's 1533-position model. The record is from RNAcentral.